RNAcentral lists this transfer RNA (71 nucleotides) under Marmota monax (woodchuck). Its description in RNAcentral is "tRNA.Ala". The record is from RNAcentral. Lineage: Eukaryota; Metazoa; Chordata; Mammalia; Rodentia; Sciuridae.
UGGGGGUCUAGCUCAGUGGUAAAGUACUUGCCUAGCAUGCACAAGGCCUGGGUUCUAUCCCCAGCACACAA